AGCCGGGACUGAACAGCUGCCAGUGCGCAGCCUGGGUGGGGGCUCAGGACAAGGGGCUCUUAUGGAGCCCCUCGAGACCCCCAGGAGGUGGACACUGCCCCCAGCUCUUGGUGGAGCCCUUGGGCUGCAACAGCAGGAACUGAACCCCAGGGGCUUUGGGGUUAAGAGAAGAAUGUCUGGACGUUAGCGGCAAAAGCAGGCGGGUGGGGCAGUGAGCACAAGCGGGGGUGCCCCUGAUACUGGCUACCCCUCCACAUCUAUCUCUGUCCGGGUCUGCCUCUGUCCUCGGCACACGGCACGCGCUGCUCCGGGGGCGGCCGCGCCACAGGUGAGCGGAACACGGUUCGAGGAAGGUGGGCCGGGCACAGGGCGGCCCGUGGUUGCAGGUACCAGAGCUUGCUGGAGCUGGCUGGGCUUUGAGGAUCAAUCACCUGGUUCUGCAGAUGUAGAAGUAUGUAAAGUAAUCAGCACUUUCACCAGGGCAGGACUCGGAUCCAGGCCAGCAGCUGCCCAGCCCAAGGCUCCUUGCACCACCGUGUGAGCCACAUACUUUCCGGAUAGGAGAAGGUCCAGAAGGUGAAGUCUGCGCCCAGGACCUGCAGAGCCCCC
This 609-nucleotide long non-coding RNA is filed under the name Homo sapiens (human). Its description in RNAcentral is "non-protein coding LINC00205:19". Lineage: Eukaryota; Metazoa; Chordata; Mammalia; Primates; Hominidae. The record is from RNAcentral.